Echinostoma caproni is the source of this 45-nucleotide non-coding RNA. The record is from Rfam. Lineage: Eukaryota; Metazoa; Platyhelminthes; Trematoda; Plagiorchiida; Echinostomatidae.
GCACUGCUGACGAGUCCCAAACAGGACGAAACAGAUGCCCAGUGC